AGAAACAAUUGAUAAAACUUGGAAGAAAUUUCCAAUCAUCUUUGAUGGGAGAAUGAAGGUUAAGGAAUCUGAAGAACACUGGACAAAUGAUACAUCUAAAGAAAAAGGACAAAUCAUCCAGAAUGCAUGUCCCCAAAAAAGAGAUCCCCUAAAGAUGCCAUCACCCCCAGACAGCAGGAAGUAAGAACAUGACAUCCACAUUC
Peromyscus maniculatus bairdii (prairie deer mouse) is the source of this 203-nucleotide non-coding RNA. Lineage: Eukaryota; Metazoa; Chordata; Mammalia; Rodentia; Cricetidae. The record is from RefSeq and is a predicted model, not a curated record.